AGUGAACGCUGGCGGUAGGCCUAACACAUGCAAGUCGAACGGCAGCACAGUAAGAGCUUGCUCUUACGGGUGGCGAGUGGCGGACGGGUGAGGAAUACAUCGGAAUCUACUUUUUCGUGGGGGAUAACGUAGGGAAACUUACGCUAAUACCGCAUACGACCUACGGGUGAAAGCAGGGGAUCUUCGGACCUUGCGCGAUUGAAUGAGCCGAUGUCGGAUUAGCUAGUUGGCGGGGUAAAGGCCCACCAAGGCGACGAUCCGUAGCUGGUCUGAGAGGAUGAUCAGCCACACUGGAACUGAGACACGGUCCAGACUCCUACGGGAGGCAGCAGUGGGGAAUAUUGGACAAUGGGCGAAAGCCUGAUCCAGCCAUACCGCGUGGGUGAUGAAGGUCUUCGGGUUGUAAAGCCCUGUUGUUGGGAAAGAAAAGCAGCAGGUUAAUACCCGGCUGUUCUGACGGUACCCAAAGAAUAAGCACCGGCUAACUUCGUG
RNAcentral lists this ribosomal RNA (492 nucleotides) under uncultured bacterium. RNAcentral describes it as "partial 16S ribosomal RNA". It matches the Rfam family "Bacterial small subunit ribosomal RNA", at positions 29 to 507 of the family's 1533-position model. The record is from RNAcentral.